GAAAGCUUCACAUUACAUUGUUAAAAAAUGUCUUUAGUAGUAUAGAACUUUGUUCCAUAAUAUUUAAUAUAGAGAAAAUUGCAAGGAAAGGCAUCAACUGUCCAAAAGGGGGCCGAUAAUACAAGUUUGUUUCAUGCACCAAUUGCAUUUGGAUUUUGUUUUUCAUAAGUUUGGAAUGGCACGUAAAUUAGAAGUGGUACAUAUCACUUUUCCUAAAUCAUCAUAAACCUAGAGCUAAUUUACAAUUUGUAACAUCUAAUAUUUGACCAAGUUGCAACUUGACAAAUCCAUCCAACUUAAAAAAUAGGUUUACUGAGCUGGGACCAAGGCUUGCGUACUAACGAGCAAUCCACUUCCUCCUUUAUCUUCACGAUCACCAAGCCCUCAUGAGCAUAACCUGUCAUAAACUAAAUUGUUAAUAUCAAAAACCUAAAAAACGUUUAAAAUUUAGGAGGAUUUAGUUUUCUUUGAGGAGAGAGUAUACAUGGGACCACAUCAUAAGGUCAUAAACAAAGGGAAUAUGCCAGGCGUACCCAAAUGGUCAUUUCCUCCCCACUCACAAUUCAAUCCCAAAAGAUCAGGGAAGCAAGAACUUUGGUCCCCACGAUAUCUAACAAAAUCUCUAACAAAUUUAUAGCUGGAUUUGUAAAAAAGAAUAAUUUUGGAAAUCCAUAAACCCCUUAUAAAAGAAGGCGACUGGGCUUUUGUGUAGGGGGCGCUCACCGUUACUCUACCAAAGUUUCACACAAUAACCAUUCAUUUCUAGAGCUCAAAUUCAGAAGUCUAAAUUAGAGUUUCACGUUGAAACUCUAACCAAGACGAGCUAAACCCCAAAUGCAGUAUUGGAAGACAAUCCAAGACGUAGAGAAAAGAAGAAAGAGGAUGUUUUGAAGAGAAAAAGUAAACUUAUCUUUUAGUCGCCGGAAAGCACAUCACCGAACGAGUUCCGGUCAGGUAGAUUUCUUCAGGCCUUGACCAAAUCAGUACGCUAUUGCAAUCUCCUGUUUACAUUGGUUGAAACCCCUAACACCCUAGUUUAAAAUUAUGCUUCAAUACCACUUGAUUCGACAUUAGGUUUUUUUUCUCCCGUCGCGCUUCCUUUACUUCGCUCACACCUUGUAGUUUCUAGCUGAACCCGCGACUUAUUUGCUCGAAGCCGUCGUCGUUGGUGUUUUAGGUUUGACUCUAGGGUUCGAUUUGGGAUCUCGAUCCGGACAAUUAAGGUUGGUAAUAGGGUUUCUGAGUUCAAAUUCGAACUCAGAUGGGUGUUUUUAGGGGGGGUACGGUUUUGUUUUACUUGUUCGUCGGAGCUUGAAGGCGGCGGCGCCGUGAAUGGUUGCCUGCCACCUUCUUCUCCGGCAGGUCGAUCCAGAGAGGGAGAGAACUAUUUGCAGAGCGUUUGCUUGUUUUGGUGUGAAGAGCGAGAAUUGAGUUCUUCAAAUAAACUCAAUCUUUGUUGAAGAAGGCUUAUAUUGCCUCACUUCUUCGCCGUGCAUGUGGGUCAAGUGGCCCUCCCUGAGCAUGCCACGCGUGAUGGACUUGUAGGUCAACCAGGGGAUCCCGUAUGGAUCCCCCCACCAUAUGACGGUGUUCCCUAUUCCGUUCCGCCCCUUGAUCAUUUGACUAAGUCAGAUCCUUGGAUCUGAUGGUCAGGGUUUGAUGGCCUAAGUCAACAGGAUUGAUCAAAGAGCUUUGGACUUUCCCUUGGGAGUGGGCCUCCGGUUUUGGGCCCAGUUUUACUAUGACUCUUCGAACCCCUUGUUAUUACUACUGUGCGUCCAACUUGGGUCUAUUUGGUCCAAAGCCCAUUUUAUUCUCAUUUUUACCCUUUAUUAUUUUCCUUCCUUUGUCUAUUGUUAUUAUUGAUACCUAAUAGUAAUUAAAUAAUCCAUUAACUUUUUAAUUAAUUAAUUUUAUUAUUAUCACCACCAUUUAAUAUUUAAUUAUAAUUUAGAUAAUUACUCAUUUUUGUGAGAUUUAUGUGCAUUAUUAUUUUAUGCUUGUUUAUUCAUGUGUACGAACUAAUUAAUUUCAUACGUUUGGUGCAUUAAUAUCAUGACAAACUAUUUCGAUUUAACUAUUUAAAAAUCAUUUCAACCCAUUUCAAAAGAAAAAUCGUAAUUCUCGAUUCAAAUUGGAGCCCAUUUUCAAACACCUUUGCAAGUCGAUCGCUUUUAAAGCAUCGCCAUCAACCUCACAUAACUUACUCUUGAACUUUCUUACAAUGAGACCUAUUCGGUUAUCAAUUAAUCGAUUAGAUGAUUGAUACACCAAAAUAAUGCAAUUUAUUCAUAAAACAUAAAUUUAAAACCUCGAUCCAACAUCGAGUAUUUCUAUUCAAAUUAAAUUAAAAUACCUAAUCACAAUCAAAUACCAUUUCAUUUGGAAAUAAAAUGGGGGAUGGUUUUGAGUUUUCAACUGCUCUCCUCGAUUAUUUGAAUACGAGUUAUUUUACUCGGUUAGCCAAAUAAUUGUCAUUCCUAUCCUCCUAAACACAAUUGAAGUCAAAUUAUUUUCAUAAUAACGAAAUGAAAAGGGAGAUGAUUUUGAGCCUUGGGACAAGGGGUACCUUGCAAGCGAGUAGCGUGGGAUGGUGGUUCAUGUUGGCAAAUCUUGGGUUUCAACAAGUGUGUGUUUGGGAUUAAUUCAACUAGGUGAAAGCCUUGGGACAAUGAGUGCACUACAAGGAAGUAGCAAAAGCAAGUGAAUUGAAGCGACAUUGUUGGUUACAUGAUCAUGCACUUGGUAUUAAUUCAUUCGGGUGAUAGCCUUGGGACAGGGGAUUCCUUGCAAGGAAGUAGCAACAAUAGGUGAAUUGAAGCGGCAUGGUUAGUUACUUGAUCAAGGGUUUUGGAGGUGGUAGAGUCAACAUCAAACUUAGGGUUUAUAGAGUUCGAUUUCUUCAACUCUUGUAUACACACAUUUUUAAAAGUAAGAUUUAUUAUAAUAUCUCAAUUCGAAUUCGAAUUGAGGGCAGACAUAUCCAUAGCGAGGUCAAUUGGGGAACUGCCUAAAAAAAUACUUGUGUACUAUCUCUCUCUCUUUUGUUUUUCGGUUUGCAAAUUAUCGAUUGCAUUGAUCAUUUGAUCAAUAUUGUUUGGGUCAUAAUUUUGAAUACAUUUUGAAAUUUGUGUUUUUGUGUAGACCACAAACCAUUUGGUUUUGAUAGGAUUUCUAGAACAACAAACACCACAUAGAAUGCUAAACAUUAUUGAUCACACACUAAGUGUUUAAUAAAUUGCUUGACUUGAUUUUUGUGUGUAUUCUCAUUGGAGAUAGACUUUUUCCUAUUGUAUUUCAUUCAAGUAGUUGUGAUUAGUUAUUGUUGGUUGACUUGUGGAUUAUUGACGUUUCAUUGAUACUUCUACGCAUAUCCAAGUUUCUCGAUAGUAGGUUCGGUUAGAUGAUUUUUGAUCCGGGUAAUUUGAAACUCGCUUCCGUUCCAUAAACUUUUUCAAAACCAAAUUUUGAUUUAAGUUUUAACUUGUGAUCUAUUCACCCNCCCCCCCCCUUCUAGAUCUAGGCCUAUCAUGUUUUAGUAAGGUUGUGUAAUUGAUUUAAUAGUAGUUGUUGGUUUAGUGUUUGUUUGUUUAAAAAAAAUUGAACUUGAUGGCUUAAUUAAAUGCUUGUGAUAGAUGACAUAUGGAAUCUGAAUAUUUUGAUAUAUUUGAAAUCUAUAGUGUGUGACAAUGUUUGAGUGUUUUCAUUUAUAGUUUGUUGUAACAAUGUUGGAGUAUUUUGUUUUUAUAUCGAGUUAUUCAUUGUUUAAUUUUUGACGAAAUUCAUGUUUGAUUCUUGUAGGUGGAUUUGACACAGCUCAUGCUACUGCUAGAUAAAUCUUUGAACUUAUUUAAUUUUAUGGUUAUUUCAUUUGUUAGAUUGUUGAAUUGACUUGAAAUUUUCAAUAUCAAAGUCAAUGAUCG
RNAcentral lists this long non-coding RNA (3923 nucleotides) under Lathyrus oleraceus (garden pea). RNAcentral describes it as "Pisum sativum (pea) long non-coding RNA (PSAT_LNC036763)". Lineage: Eukaryota; Viridiplantae; Streptophyta; Magnoliopsida; Fabales; Fabaceae. The record is from RNAcentral.